AGUGAGCGCUGGCGGUAGGCCUAACACAUGCAAGUCGAACGGCAGCACAGUAAGAGCUUGCUCUUACGGGUGGCGAGUGGCGGACGGGUGAGAAAUACAUCGGAAUCUACUUUUUCGUGGGGGAUAACGUAGGGAAACUUACGCUAAUACCGCAUACGACCUACGGGUGAAAGCAGGGGAUCUUCGGACCUUGCGCGAUUGAAUGAGCCGAUGUCGGAUUAGCUAGUUGGCGGGGUAAAGGCCCACCAAGGCGACGAUCCGUAGCUGGUCUGAGAGGAUGAUCAGCCACACUGGAACUGAGACACGGUCCAGACUCCUACGGGAGGCAGCAGUGGGGAAUAUUGGACAAUGGGCGCAAGCCUGAUCCAGCCAUACCGCGUGGGUGAAGAAGGCCUUCGGGUUGUAAAGCCCUUUUGUCGGGAAAGAAAAGCAGCAGGUUAAUACCCCGCUGUUCUGACGGUACCCAAAGAAUAAGCACCGGCUAACUUCGUG
Molecule: ribosomal RNA, 492 nt
Filed under: uncultured bacterium
Lineage: Bacteria
Description: partial 16S ribosomal RNA
Rfam family: Bacterial small subunit ribosomal RNA
Source: RNAcentral